UUUCUCCUGGUUAAGAGUGUUUAAAACAUCAUGAGAUCAAAGCUGUAGUCCACCAGCACAGAAGUUAUGUAUCAUACACUAAUAAAGUUAUGUGUCCUAGGACAUGGCACAAAAGUGUUUGUUUGUUUAAAGCUUGGCAUAAGUGUUAAAGAGCCAAAUUUACUGAAUUUUACUAGAAUUUAUUUUUCCUGUCUUGAGAGGCCUUCAGAAUGAACAGUCCCCCAAAACCAUGGCUGGGUUUUGUCUCACAGAGACCAGUUAGUAUACUUUAAAAGCAAGUCAGGGAGUGAAUUCUUACUUCAGGAUCUCAGCUCAUUUAGCACUGAACAUGUAUUCUGUGCAGUUUUCUAUAUGGAUGGGCAAAACAAUUAAAUUGAAGUGGUAAGAAGGAAUCCUCCUUGUCCAGUUAACCCCUUAAUUAAAGCCAAGCAGCACUUAGAUCAAAAUUACUUCUAAAGGUGGUGAAUGUAUGCAUUGUUUCAGAGCUAAGGAAAUGACUUAGGGAUAGUGAGAGAAGUAAAUCUUAACACUCUUUCAGAGGUAUAUCAGAUCAAGUUGUAUGGACAGCAUGGAUAUUUAUGAACACAAUACAUUCAAAGAGAGAUUAGAUACCACUGUGCAAUGCAAAUGGGUGAAAGAUGAAUAACAGUAUGUCAUGUGAAACUGUCCAAUGAAACCACAAAUAUAAAUACUAAACUUUGCCCAGACAAGCAACAUCUCUGUUGUGAACAAGUUAUUACUUCUCCAAAUACCAUUUACCAAAGUCUAACUGCAGUAAUCAAAUAUUUGGUUUGAACGUGCAUCUUAAAUGUUGCCUCAGCUCAGCUAUUCCAGUAGCUCUAUCUGGAACAAAACCACUGUAGCUGAGAAUUCUUAGGGAGGGACUUCAUGUAUUUGCACAAAGCAGUGAGGCUAAUGACCUGAUGAGGACUGCUGGUGGGUGAUGACAGUUUAAGUGAUCCCUAUAGUUCUGCUCAGUUGCACUGUUCAGAAUACACAAAAUCUAACUUGAUUCAGAAAGUAACUACAGCAAACAUCAAGAGAAAGAUCAAGGACAACAUAAGUAACAAGUCAGAGAUCCAAGAAGUGUUGUACAACUGCUCUCUGUUAUCACUUUCUCAGAGUUCACUCCUGGUGCUAUGUGCGCUCAUGAUCCUCAGCAGGUCUUCAGGCAUUGUGCUCAGACUUGCCAUUGUGGCCAUGAGAACUCCUCAGCUGCAGAAGACAAAGGCAUGCUGCCCACACAAUACACGGUUCCAGCAGCUGUGCCUUCCAUUGACUCAAGCUGGAAGAAAUGUAGAUCGAAUACCAACAAUAACAGAUCAAUGUUGUAAAUAUUAGCAUGAGAAAGAGUGCACCAAACUCCGAGUGUGUCUUUUUUGUCUGGUUGUAAUAAAGUUUCUCAAGAAUUUUGCACAUGGGGACAAGAGUGUGUAUGCACACGUAUUCUAAGCGCCUCAGAAACAGGCAGCAGCAUGUUUUCUUGUACAAAUAUUGACAAGAAUCCUUCAGUUUAUUUGGAAUUUUCCUAAGAAAGCUGCAACAAUACAGUAAUACCUCUUUGCUACUUUCCACACAGUUGUUUCAACUGCUCGCACCAGGAAAUCCUUUUUGUUUUAAUCAACACCACUUGGAGUGAUGACGUUUCCUUUUUUCUUUUAGUGACAGACAUGGUGCAUUUUCUUGCACAAAGUUCUCAUGAGAGACUUUUGUGCAUGUAUAUCCAACUGCAAAUGUGUAUUUGUGAGGUAGCUGAAAGAGUUCACUAUAUUUUCUUCUUCUAUUUUUCAUCCC
Lagopus muta (rock ptarmigan) is the source of this 1794-nucleotide long non-coding RNA. RefSeq lists it as uncharacterized. The record is from RefSeq and is a predicted model, not a curated record. NCBI's taxonomy places the organism in Eukaryota, Metazoa, Chordata, Aves, Galliformes, Phasianidae. The transcript has 4 exons.